Molecule: ribosomal RNA, 398 nt
Filed under: uncultured bacterium
Lineage: Bacteria
Description: partial 16S ribosomal RNA
Rfam family: Bacterial small subunit ribosomal RNA
Source: RNAcentral
AUACGUAGGGUGCGAGCGUUGUCCGGAAUUACUGGGCGUAAAGAGCUCGUAGGUGGUUUGUCGCGUCGUCUGUGAAAUUCCGGGGCUUCACUCCGGGCGUGCAGGCGAUACGGGCAUAACUUGAGUACUGUAGGGGAGACUGGAAUUCCUGGUGUAGCGGUGAAAUGCGCAGAUAUCAGGAGGAACACCGGUGGCGAAGGCGGGUCUCUGGGCAGUAACUGACGCUGAGGAGCGAAAGCAUGGGUAGCGAACAGGAUUAGAUACCCUGGUAGUCCACGCCGUAAACGGUGGGCGCUAGGUGUAGGGGUCUUCCACGACUUCUGUGCCGUAGCUAACGCAUUAAGCGCCCCGCCUGGGGAGUACGGCCGCAAGGCUAAAACUCAAAGGAAUUGACGGGG